GACGAACGCUGGCGGCGUGCUUAACACAUGCAAGUCGAGCGGUAAGGCCCUUUCGGGGGUACACGAGCGGCGAACGGGUGAGUAACACGUGGGUGACCUGCCCUCAGCUCUGGGAUAAGCCUGGGAAACCGGGUCUAAUACCGGAUAUGACUCCAUGACGCAUGUUGUGGGGUGGAAAGCCUUGUGCGGCUGAGGAUGGGCCCGCGGCCUAUCAGCUUGUUGGUGGGGUGAUGGCCUACCAAGGCGACGACGGGUAGCCGGCCUGAGAGGGCGACCGGCCGACACUGGGACUGAGACACGGCCCACGACUCCUACGGGAGGGCAGCAGUGGGGAAGUCUUGCGCAAUGGGCGAAAGACCUGACGCAGCGACGCCGCCGUGAGGGA
This 385-nucleotide ribosomal RNA is filed under the name uncultured bacterium. RNAcentral describes it as "bacterial SSU rRNA". It matches the Rfam family "Bacterial small subunit ribosomal RNA", at positions 28 to 408 of the family's 1533-position model. The record is from RNAcentral.